Molecule: transfer RNA, 72 nt
Filed under: Camelus bactrianus (Bactrian camel)
Lineage: Eukaryota; Metazoa; Chordata; Mammalia; Artiodactyla; Camelidae
Also listed under: 3 other names
Rfam family: tRNA
About the family: Transfer RNA (tRNA) molecules are approximately 80 nucleotides in length. Their secondary structure includes four short double-helical elements and three loops (D, anti-codon, and T loops).
Source: Rfam by way of RNAcentral
GGAGGUAUAGCUUAGUGGUAGAGUGCAUUCCUAGCAUGCAUGAGGUCCCAAGUUCAACUCCUGACACCUCUA